This 689-nucleotide long non-coding RNA is filed under the name Triticum aestivum (bread wheat). RNAcentral's name for it is "long non-coding RNA (TAES_LNC012758)". The record is from RNAcentral. Lineage: Eukaryota; Viridiplantae; Streptophyta; Magnoliopsida; Poales; Poaceae.
AUAUAUAGGACCGUGCCUCUGUGGAUGGACAAAUCAUCUUGCAGUUUUGCUUAGAACACAUAUUUCCUUGUCAAUCUCGAUCCUGUUAAUAACCAGAAACAAGCAUCACAGUUGCAUUACAUUAUCUAGAUGGACAAGUACAUGACCGCGUCAGUCCUGUUUUCUCUACUUCUUCUUGUAUGCCUUGCUACUACGACACAAUGUAAGCGUUCGAUUCAGAACUCUACUUCGGGUAAAUCUGUCGUUACAGGUACAGGUCAAUUAUACUCACGUAUUUUAAUUUUCUGUUUAUGCUGGAAGUUGGUAUUUUCUUAGUGCAUGACGACUGUGUUUUUCCUUUCUUGUGCCAUCUGGUGCUUCUUUGUUAAUCAACACGGAAUCAUACUAAUGUCAAUCAUUUGUCUAUACUUUUUUUUUCAUAGGUCAAAUCACCGACAGCAUGGAUAAUCAUAAGAUCAAUUUACCAAACGGGCUGUGCGUCUAUAACAAAAAAGUUCAGCUCUACUGUUGCCUUGUGUCGAAUUUAUGUUAUUACCCACAAGAAUUAUGCGUUGAAAGUUGCAAAGGAUGACUCCUAUUAAAUUGACUUUUUGUUCGAAGAAGUAAUAAAGAGUAGUAGCUUUGUUGUCGUUUGAUUGGUCAGUCCGGUUGCAAGUAAACUCUGGGCAGGACUAGGUCCUUCGGGUGAG